AUGCAGAAGACGCUUCGACAAAAAUGUAAAAAUAAACGUAGAAUUGAAGCAUCGAUGGCUGAGGCAUUCAUCACUGAGGAGGCGGCAAACUUCGUGACAGCACACUACGAAGCCAAAAAUCGUCAUUUGCAUAAUCCGAAGCCUCGGUACAAUGCUGACGACCCUAAAAAGGGUGGAUCCAACCUCAGCCUAUUCAAAGGGAAUCUCGCACCAGCCAGUGUUUCAAAUCCAGUAUCUUUGGAUAACGAACAAUGGCGGACCAUUUUGUUGUAUAUCUUCAACAACCUGAUAGAAGUGCGGCCGUACAUCGAGUAA
RNAcentral lists this ribosomal RNA (315 nucleotides) under Triticum aestivum (bread wheat). RNAcentral's name for it is "partial small subunit ribosomal RNA". Lineage: Eukaryota; Viridiplantae; Streptophyta; Magnoliopsida; Poales; Poaceae. The record is from RNAcentral.